GGUCCUGUAGCAUAGUGGUCUAAUGCACUACCCUGUCACGGUAGGUUACGUCGGUUCAAAUCCGAUCAGGAUCG
Molecule: transfer RNA, 74 nt
Rfam family: tRNA
About the family: Transfer RNA (tRNA) molecules are approximately 80 nucleotides in length. Their secondary structure includes four short double-helical elements and three loops (D, anti-codon, and T loops).
Source: Rfam